Molecule: long non-coding RNA, 5589 nt
Organism: Nerophis ophidion (straightnose pipefish)
Lineage: Eukaryota; Metazoa; Chordata; Actinopteri; Syngnathiformes; Syngnathidae
Exons: 2
Source: RefSeq, a predicted model, not a curated record
GGUGAAGAUCCUGCCCAGGAUGUUCCAGGUCACCCGCUUCACAUCCUGGCCUCCAAUGGUGCCCAAAGAAGAAAUCUAAAAGGCGUAGACAUCUCUUUAAACAAACAGUGGAGGAGGGGUAUGGCCAUGAAACCAUCCCUGUACGGCAAGGCCACACAUUUCUGUCGCAGCGCUGACACCUCAACCAACUUCAGCUCAUCAGAUGGAUCAUUUACAGAAAAUAUGUUCAUUCUGUCAGAGUUGAAGGGGUAGGUAUAGAAAGGAGACUGCCGGGAAUAUUCUGUGUAAAUAGCGUACACACCAUUAUCAUUUUUGACUUUAUCCCCCACCAGAAACACAUUGUCCCCUAUUGAUAAUUUGACGGUCCACCUUUCACAUUGCUUUUCCCCAUAUUGUGCAUGACCUUCCAUGCCAACAACAAUUGGACCCACCAAAUCCUCCCUUUUCAGUGACAUGUGUGUAUCAGCAUCUGAUUUGGGAGCUGUAACCUCCGAAAGGCGCCGAAUGAGCUGAGGUAGAGGGAACUCAGGUUUUCCAAUUAGUUUUUUUAUUUUCCCAAGGUGAUUCUCAUAUGGUAACGCUGAAAAGGAAUCCAGACAGCCAUGCCGCUUCACCUCGUCUGCCAAGUGGACCGGACAGUGGACAUUGUACACAAUCUGGUCCGUCCCAUAAAGCACACCAAAAUGGUUGACAAAAGAUUUUAGCAUUUGUCCAGCAUAGUCAGCAAGGUUGAGAUGUUCAGGGCUUACCAACAUGGAUACAGCAGUUAACAGGAGCAUGAAAUUACAGUACAUGUUCCGGUCUAGGAAUCCUGCCAGCACCACAGGGCCAGUGUACAGUAAGAACUGUCGGAAUUCAGUUGCCUUCCAACGGUCCAACUCCCUAAGCGACCGUGGUCUUCUGGCAAACUCAAUUGGCACGUAGGGACUCAUGGAUUGGAGUUUGCCUGACAUCCUGUCCGCUAUUAAAUCCGGCAGUCUUACGGUUAACGGACCUCGGAGCCAAGUUAGGAGCAGUUUCCUUACAAUGCCCAAACACACUAGAUGCAUAUAAUCUAAGGGAAACUGAUUUACCAUGCCAACCUUGACGUGUUGAAAUGGAUGUGGCCCUUCAUGGUGAUGUAAUUCAUCAACCUUCAGGUUAAACGAGAUGUCAGUUGUGAGGGGGUGCUCUGGUCCAGGGAACGACAUACGCCGGUUGUGGUAUUUCCCUGGGGGUAGGAACUUAUCGCAACCAUGGUAAGCAUUGUGGGCUUUAGUAUUUUUCAAAAAGGCCCGUGCAGGGGUACCACAGAUUACUGUGUGAAGCUCAAAUCUAAGAUUCUUAUCUUCAAAGCAAAAUCCAGCCUAUAGCUCAUGUAGUUCUGGGACAAAAUCAGAUAGGAACUCUGUGGCCAUCUUGGUUUUUUUGGUCUACAGUACGCCCCAAUGACAACGGGUUCCUUCAUGGGGACGGUAACUAGUAGGCCAAGGAUGGGCCACUGCUGUACAGUGGAACUUUUAAAUAAAGGAAGUCCAUCUAUAUUAAUCUGCAGCCCCAAUGUCAUGCCCUCUGCCAAUGUUUUGGCAUAUUUACUUCGAGUGGCCUUCAAGGAGGAAAGGAUGCCAAAGUGAUGGUAGUUCCCCCCAGCCUUCUGCCGAAUAGAAUAUUGGACUUUUGUUUUGAGAAGGGUCCUUCCAUCCUUUGGCAGAUUGGGAUGGGUUAGAUGGAGUAUACUCAACAGGGCAGUUAGAGCAACCAUGGAAAUGCCAAAACUCACUGCCCAGUUGGCAAUGUUAUCGGAAAGUGAUGUUGGGUUAUCAUCAUUUUCAGAAUCCGAACCUGAUGUUCCCUCCUCAUCACACCCAUCCCAAUACACGUCAUCAAAAUCUGCCUCCAAUUCCAUGACCUCCUCUGUAAAAACGUGCACCUCGGGCAUUGCAUGUGCAGCUGAAGAGGAUUGGGCAGUGUUCUCAGAAAGAACUCUGUCAUCUGCCUCUAUUCCUGUCAUGUCUGUAAUGUCUGUAAUGUCUCUCUGAAUCUGAAGAAGCCUUUUUUGAACGUCUAUGCGUGUCCUUUGUCUUAAGGCUGAUAAAGACACAGGCAUAGUCUUUCUUUUCAUGUUUGCGCUACAAGACAAGAAAAUACAGUACAUUUUAUCAUGGAUUAUUGUUUCUAAAGUUAUAUUUAAAUAAAUACAUUGUUAAAUGUUGGUGUUGCCUGUUUCAUUGCUACAAACUAGAGGAGAUAUAGGGCAACGUUAAAUUGAUUCAGCCCCAUGAAUAUGCCAAGAGCUGCUAGAAAAAUGUGUAAGCAACAUUACAUUUUAACAAACCAGAAAGUCACUUACUUGAUUAAGCGAACACAGCAGAAGCAAUUGUAGGCAAAAAUCCAGGCAACAGAGGAUGCUGCAAAACACACAAAAUAGAAGAUGGGACCAAGUUCCAUACAGUAGCAUAAGAAAUUAUGAACGGGCGCAAAAUACAUUAGUUGCCUGAACCGACGUAAACAGUGAUUAAAAUGAUUGAUUUCCUAUUCAUUCAUUUUAAUUAUAAAGAUUGCAGACAGACAUUUUACUUUAUACAUUAUAUGUGAAACAGUCAUUGUUCUGCAUUGUGUCCUUUACAGCAGUAGUUCUCAAAUGGGGGUACGCGUACCCCGGGGGGUACUUGAAGGAAUGACAAGGGGUACGUAAGAUUUUUGAAAAAAAUGUUCUAAAAAUAGCAACAAUUCAAAAUUCCUUCAUAAAUAUAUUUAUUGAAUAAUACUUCAACAAAAUAUGAAUUUAAGUUCAUAAACUGUGAAAAUAAAUGCAACAAUGCAAUAUUCAGGGUUGACAGCUAGAUUUUUUCGUGGACAUGUUCCAUAAAUAUUGAUGUUAAAGAUUUCUUUUUUUGUGAAGAAAUGUUUAGAAUUAAGUUCAUAAAUCCAGAUAGAUCUCUAUUACAAUCCCCAAAGAGGGCACUUUAAGUCGAUGAUUACUUCUAUGUGUAGAAAUCUUUAUUUAUAAUGGAAUCACUUGUUUAUUUUUCAACAAGUUUUUAGUUAUUUGUAUAACUUUUUUUCCAAAUAGUUCAAGAAAGACCACUACAAAUGAGCAAUAUUUUCCUCUGUUAUACAAUUUAUAAAUCAGAAACUGAAGACAGUGCUGUAUUUUACUUCUUUAUCUUUUUUUCAACCUAAAAUGCUUUUCUCUGAUUAUGGGGUACUUGAAUUAAAAAAAUGUUUGCAGGGGGUUCAUCACUGAAAAAAGGUUGAGAACCACUGCUUUAUAGUGAUGCACACACAGGAGUUGAGCCGUGGAGGAUUUAUUCACCUUUUUUUUUUUUUAAUGGAAACAAAAACAGGGCGUCACACAGUCCAUUGUAAACAAGAUCUCUCCACAGCUCCGAGCGUCAUCAGUGCUCACUCAACUCAAUUAUUUAUGCUUACAUGUGGAAAUAAUAAUAAUACAUAAAAUAAUAAUAACAAAAGGUAAAUAAGCAUAAAAUAAUCUCUAUUAAUUAAAUUAAAAAAGACUAUAUACAAUAUAUAUUCAUCAGCAAAUAAAGACAAGAAAAUACAGUAAAUUUUAUCAUUGAUUAGUGUUUCAAAAAGUUAUAUUUAAAUAAAUACAUUGUUAAAUGGUGAUGUCUGUUUCAUUGCUACAAACUAGAGGAUAUAUAGGGCAACGUUAAAUUGAUUCAGCCCCAUGAAUAUGUUGUCUGAACCGACGUAAACAGUGAUUAAAAUAGUUGAUUUCUAAUUCAUUCAUUUUAAUUAUAAAGAUUGCAGAUAGAAACUACUUAAUACAUUACAUACGUAACAGUCACUGUUCUGUUCUGUCACCGUUUUCCCACUCACAUCAACUCAUUUUGUAUUUUUUCUACAAUUAACUAUGCCAAAAAAAUCAUAACAGACAUACCUUUUUUUUAAUGGAUACAAAAACAACAGGGAGGAUGUCACACACAGCCACAGCAAACAGGAUCUAAUCCAUUUUAAAUAAAAUAGCCUUUUUUUUACAGAAUAUAAAGUUUUACUGCCAGUCCUAUCAAACAACGUCAUUACAAUCAUAUAUAAGUGAUGAUGGAAACACAAAGGCCGGUCAUUACUGUGAAUGUAGCAAUAAGUCAAUAAAUCUAUACUUACGUCGUGUUCCAGCAGAGAAAGUCCAGAAAUGAUCGAUCUUGGCUCAUGCGCGUAGCUUGACCUAGCUAGUUCAUGCACCUAGGUGCCUCCGCGUAGGCAGAUCCGACACGGGGUCAGCUCAGGAUCCGCUGUCUGACCGUACAAUUUUUAGAGGCGAAUCGGAUUCUCUAGGCGGAGCCAAAACGAAUGUGACAGUAACGAAAGGGUUGGGCGACUUGAAGGCGGAUCCGUAUAGGAGUCUCCUGCUGUCUGUGCUAUUUCAUUAACACUUCUGUUCAAAUGUAAUCAGCAUUCAUUGUUCCGCUGUUGCAAUACUUUUCAUUUAUUUUAGCGAUACUACAAAUUUGUGUACCGAUCCCAUACAAAGUAGUUACAGUGUCAGUACUGGUCACACCAAUGCUGAUACAUGAAAUGUUCAAGAUGAUUAAAUUGUUUAUCACAAAUAUCUAUCUGUGUUGGCCCUGCGAUGAGGUACAAAACGGGUAAGAUUAUAUAGGCGUCACUUCCUCACUCAUUUUCAGACAUGUAUAAAAACUAAUUAUAUAUAUUUAUAUAUAUAUAUAUAUGAGUUGGGAAAUUGUGUUAGAUGUAAAUAUAAACGGAAUACAAUAAUUUGCAAAUAUUUUUCGACCGAUAUUCAAUUGAAUGCACUACAAAGACAAGAUAUUUGAUGUUCAAACUCAUAAACUUUAUUUUUUUUUUUUGCAAAUAAUAAUUAACUUAGAAUUUCAUGGCUGCAACACGUGCCAAAGUAGUUGGGAAAGGGCAUGUUCACCACUGUGUUACAUCACCUUUUCUUUUAACAACACUCAAUUAACGUUUGGGAACUGAGGAAACUAAUUGUUGAAGCUUUGAAAGUGGAAUUCUUUCCCAUUCUUGUUUUAUGUAGAGCUUCAGUCGUUCAACAGUCCGGGGUCUGUGCUGUCGUAUUUUACGCUUCAUAAUGCGCCACACAUUUUCGAUGGGAGACAGGUCUGGACUGCAGGCGGGACAGGAAAGUACCUGCACUCUUUUUUUACGAAGCCAAGCUGUUGUAACACGUGCUGAAUGUGACUUGGCAUUUUCUUGCUGAAAUAAGCAGGGGCGUCCAUGAAAAAGACGGCACUUAGAUGGCAGCAUAUGUUGCUGCAAAAUCCUUUAUGUACCUUUCAGCAUUAAUGGUGCCUUCACAGAUGUGUAAGUUACCCAUGCCUUGGGCACUAUUGCACCCCCAUUCCCUCACAGAUGCUGGCUUUUGAACUUUGCAUUGAUAACAGUCUGGAUGGUUUGCUUCCCCUAUGGUCCGGAUGACACAAUGUCGAAUAUUUCCAAAAACAAUUUGAAAUGUGGACUUGUCAGACCACAGAACACCAUGCCGCUUACGUGGAGUGAUUUCUCCAGGUUCUGCUCAAGCAACCAGAUCAAGACCGUAUUAAAAAAAAAAAUCAACAACAGAAGGAGAUAAUGUGAAGGACAUACACCAUUUGAUUUCCUGUUAAGCAG